Podarcis muralis (Common wall lizard) is the source of this 773-nucleotide non-coding RNA. NCBI's taxonomy places the organism in Eukaryota, Metazoa, Chordata, Lepidosauria, Squamata, Lacertidae. The record is from RefSeq and is a predicted model, not a curated record.
GAACACAGACAUAGCAUUUGGUAAGGAAAGGAAAAAAGCAGGCGAUGGAGGGACCAUUUGGAGAUCUACAAAAGCGCAGGACAUCAACUCAUCCAGUCCAGCUUCCUGUACCUAUUUAACAGUGACAGGUUCCUGGCGAGGCAGACUGAUGCAGGCACAGUUCCUGAUGGAUGAAGAGGGAAGAAACUGAGCUGGAAAAGGACCAAAUAUAUUUUGAGUGUGCAGCAGCAAGGAAGUGAGUGAAAAAAGGAGAGAUGGGAGACCAGCAUGGGCAUAACAAGAUUGGCAGCCUGACCAUGGAAGAGAGUCAUAAGGAAAAGGGACUCAUCUCGCCCAGUUAUAAGCCUUCUAAGGGGAGCACGCCAGGCUGAAAGAGGCUGCCUGGAUCACCUUGUGGGAAUCUUCCUGCUGAUUCAGUUACCGGGCAGAAGAGGCAGGCGGUCUAACACUUCCCUCCCCCUCCCAUAGUACCUGUACGGUUAGAGGCUCCGAAUGAGAUAAAACAGUGUUUUGAUAACAUCUCACUUCUGUUUAAUAUCAAGCCUUGGAGAGUUCAUAAAUAAAACAAGUGCUGGCUGGGAGUUCUCAUUGGCUCGAGAGCUCACAGCUUUUUGUCAGUCCCUGUCACUGCUAUCUUGUCUCCAGAGGAUGCAGAGAGAUGUGGAUACUUGCUAAUCAACCAGCACUUCUGCAUCACCCGAACCCCACAGUGAAAACCCGUUGUCCGCUCGUUGCAAUUCUUGUAUGAAAUAUUUUGUGCUUGUUUGACAAAG